Molecule: long non-coding RNA, 2716 nt
Organism: Phyllostomus discolor (pale spear-nosed bat)
Lineage: Eukaryota; Metazoa; Chordata; Mammalia; Chiroptera; Phyllostomidae
Exons: 2
Source: RefSeq, a predicted model, not a curated record
AAGGGAAAAAAAUCCUCAAGGUUUUUCAGGAAAAAAAAAGACAGGGUUAUGGCUGGUCACUUCUGCCGCCACCUGAGUUAUGAGAACAGCCUGCGGGCAUUCCACUGGGAAGGUGUUGCCCCGACUUGCUCAUUUAACCCAUUUAGGAAUCCAGUGGGGCUGGUUCUAUCACCCCCAUCUACAGAGGGGUAGAGGGGAGGGGACUCUCCCAAAGUCACAAAGGUCCGACAUUGAUGUGACAUUGACAUCGGCUCCACCCUGAGGAAUCUCUGUUUCCAAGUGCGGGAUAGGGGUCUUCCGCUACCUCAAAGACCAUCUGACUUGGUGUUUCCUUAGAGAACACUUCCCCGAAGUGUUCUGAAGUUGGUUGGAGAGGCCAUGGGGUCCUAGGGGGCAAAGGGAGAAGAGAGAAGGGGCAAGAACCUGGCAGGCCAGCUCCACCUUCAGCAGCUUCCUAUUUUUCUCUUAUACAGCGAUCCCACUUUCAUUUUACAGGUGGGUCCUCGGCUGCAACAAAACAAAAUAAACUGAGCUUGAAAACCUCUGAUUUGUGGCAAACCCUUAAAUGUAUGGAGCCGGCAACUGAAGCCUGGGCAGCUUCUAGCGAUGGUUCCACCGACCCAUAUUUCUUUCCCACCUGUUGCAUCAUCAGCAUAUACAGGAAUAAAAUAAAUAACCUCAAGGAAAUUGCCAGAAAACACACCCAAGCUCAAUUACCUACCCCUACAUAGAAGAACUCCUGAGGCAAAACUUUAAGCAUAUCAGUAACCACAGCCCCUGGACUGGAGCAGUGGGUUGAAAUGUCCCUGUACUGUCCCAUCUUGGGUGUAUUUCACGUGAGGCUACAAGAUUUCCAACCUUGGAAUCAACAACUUGCCUCAACACCCAGUCACAUCCAGAUCCCCCUUGGAAAUGCUUUUCAACCACAUUGGACAAAAUCUUUCGCACAAUUUCUUUGCAGGCGGCUCUGCCCCUGAGUCAGGACCUGCUCCCCCAAACGCAACAAGUUCAAAGACCUGGAGCUGCAGAAUCUACCCAUCUCCUGCCCACCGGGUAUCCGACGCACUCUCGUUUUUCUUUGCCUGUGUGAUGCUGAAACGGCAUUGCUGUAUUUUAAAUAUAACUCACAAAUUAAAAACCGAAAGAAGAAACACAUUUUUCUGUCAGUGGCUUAAGGGGAUUCCACCUCUAAGCUGCUGCUAAAGCUCCUUUAGUCUUUUUUACAUUUGUAGCAUUUUGGAGCAAUUUGCUAGAGUCAAAGAAAGCAGUGAAAUUUCCACAACCGACUUCAAAGGCCCCAAAUCCUGUAGCAGUGGAGGGGAGCCUGGUAGCAACACCAGAGGGGACGUUUUUCAAAGGGGUGCGUGGAGGGACCUGAGAGCAUCUCUACCCUGCCUCUGCGAUUGAUGUGAAUGGCGGACACGUGACCAGAUCCCCUGUAGUUCUUUGAAAAGACGCCCCUCCUGGCUUUCCCCCAACACUUGGACUGUGAAGCCGCAGAUGAGACAGCGAAGGGCCGACACAGAGAAACCGCUGCUCUGGCUCAAAGAACAAUACGGCCUUGAUGCUAUUAACACCUAUGAGUCUUUAUCUGGUGGGGAGUGUGGAGCUCAUUCAGACUGAUCAAGAGGCAGAUGGACAGCUGGGUGGUUUCACGGUUACCAAAGUAAACUCCAGCCUAGGCAGAAGUGGCUUCAGGGGACGCAAAAACACAAACUGUCAGGGGCCCCGCCACCUUAGUUCAUUCCUCUCUCUCGUCUUUUUUCUUCUGUUUCCAUGCCCCACGUGGCCUGGCCUUUCAACUUCUUCUCCAUCUGACCCCCAUUUGCGCAUCUCAGUCCAAUUCUUCCUUCCCCACCUCACACCCAUAAACACACUGUGUAUUCCAACUCUACCCAACCUGCUGUAUUGAACUAAAAUCCCCAACAAGAAAUGAGUCUAAAAGGGUGUUUGGUCUGUGAAUAUUCUGUACUAUAACAGGUUAUUAAAAUUAGCCCCCUAAGAGUAUGCCCAAUUUAGAGACUCACAACAGUGUAUGAGACUGCCCAUCACCCCACAUUUCAGCCAGAAGGAAAUACUAUUUUUAUUAUUGUUAUUAUUUGCUUAUGAGUGACGACAAAAAUUAUUUCAUAAGAUUUUUGGUUCUUUGUCCAUCCUUCUGUCCCUUUUCCUAUCAGGUUGUUUAGCACCUUUCUUACAGAUUUUUAAGAGCCCUUCCUAAUAAGGGAAUUAGGUCUUUGACUAUCUUGAGGUUUGUAAUUUUUCCCACUAUGUCAUUUGUCUUUGGAUCUGGUUUACGGCAUGUUCGCUAUGUGCAGUUUGCUUCUGUAGCCAAAUUCCUCAAUCCAUUUCUGGGCAGCACCUGGGUGGUGCAUCAGGCUAAGGAACAUUUUCCCCACCCCAUGUCCAAAAAACAAAACAAACAAACCAACAAACAAAAACCAGAAAAAACCUAAGUUCCUUUGGUUACCUUUGUAGCUUUCACUUUUGCUUAUGGUGUUCACAAAAUGACAAAAAUGACUACCCUCUUGUUCACCUCGCAAACCCCCGUCUUCUGGAGAGCGUUUGUCCACCAGGACUAGCAUUUACUUGUUUAACUGUCCAUCUGCAACUGUCAUACAUCUUGGGAGCACCCACUGUGUCCUGUUUGUUUCUGAAUCCUCUGGACUGAACCCAUAUUCUAGUAUUUACAGGGUAUACAACGAGCGCUCAUCAA